This 83-nucleotide transfer RNA is filed under the name Methanobacteriota archaeon. RNAcentral's name for it is "Euryarchaeota archaeon tRNA-Ser". It matches the Rfam family "tRNA". Rfam says of the family: Transfer RNA (tRNA) molecules are approximately 80 nucleotides in length. The record is from RNAcentral. Lineage: Archaea; Methanobacteriati; Methanobacteriota.
GCCGGGGUGGCGGAGCGGUUAACGCGCCGGACUCGAGAUCCGGUGUCCGUAAGGACGCAGGGGUUCGAAUCCCUUCCCCGGCG